This 28-nucleotide non-coding RNA is filed under the name Homo sapiens (human). The record is from RNAcentral. Lineage: Eukaryota; Metazoa; Chordata; Mammalia; Primates; Hominidae.
UCCUCCUACACUACUGAAGCUGAUGCUC